GCUUAAGUAGUUUAAAAAGAAUUUUGGGUUGUGGUCUCAAAGGUGCAGUUUAUAAGAUUGUCUUGAGUC
This is a non-coding RNA of Limulus polyphemus (Atlantic horseshoe crab), 69 nucleotides long. The record is from the annotation of a RefSeq genome assembly. Lineage: Eukaryota; Metazoa; Arthropoda; Merostomata; Xiphosura; Limulidae.